CUCUGCUCACAAGCUCCCACUACCCACCACCUCAACCAAACUCCACACCCUCUCAUAACCGCCCCCUCCUCAACUGCACAUCAUCUCCAUUUUCUUCUCCCAAAAUCAAAAUUGCAAACAGAAUCCAAUCCAAAUAAAACCCUAAAAUGAGCCCAGCUUCAAAUCACUAAUAUCUAAAAGCAAAAUCCAACACCGGAAACCAGAAAUUCACACCAAAAAAAAAAAAAAACAAUAAUUUCUGCAUUUGUGAUUGUGAUUAAUAUUUGAUUCCGGUUGCUGAAGGAAGUCAGGAAGCAGAUCCAAGCCAAGAAGGAGGGGCUCCGUCAACUCGUCGGCCCUUGUUAUCGAGACCUCAUCGACUCCGUCGACUCCAUUAACUCCAUCGUCCUCAUGAAGCUCUCCUCCCACUCCAUCUCCCACAACCUCUCCUCCGUCCACCACGCCAUCAUCCACACUCUCUCUCUUUCUUCCCCUUCCCAUUCCAAUUCCGAUUCUGAAUCCAAGUCCUCCGACUCCUCCAUCUGCAUACCAAAUCACCUGCCGGGUCAAGUUUGUAAUAGGUGAGUACCACUCCUCCACAAGGCGUCGAGUUCGUUAAGGGCGUCAAUGGUCUCAACAAGGUCGUCCUCCAUGAUCCGCGCGGCAGUCUCGCCGAGUUCCUCCACUAAACAUCGUCGUAUUCUCUGCCCUCUGAGGUUUCUCAUUUUCUGUGAUCUAUCGAGAUCUGAUGCUUUCUUUGCUUCUGUUUUUGGUGAGAUUUUUGGAUUGCCUUUUCUUCCGAUUGUCUGGUUUUGGUUAAUUGUUUGUGUUAGAUCUGUUUAGCUUGUAAGCAGAGAUUCAUGGUGGCUGGGAAUGAGAGAGAGAGAGUAGAGAGAGAGAGAGGAGGUUUCAGAUUUGAGUGCGAGGCAGAAAGGAGAGAAAAUAAGAGAAAAAAAUAGAAAUUAGAUUAAUUUUGAAAUGUCUAUUUUGUCCUUCUUGUGGGUUCAAAAUCAGAAAUGUGGGACCUCCUUGUCGGCUCCAACUCAGGCAUGACGUCAUCUUCGGAGUCAAAUUCAAAUUUUGGACGAGGUUGAUGCAAUUUGGGAGAUCAGGGAUGAGUUUGAUUAAAAAAAAAAAAAAGAGAGGGACCAAACUGAUGUUUGGCCUAAAGUUUGAGAGACUAAACUGAAUGUAGUCCUUAAUUUAUUGAUCUUAAUUUCAGAAUGCAUGGGAUCGUGAUUUAUCUCUUGGAUUGAUUUCGGGAAGGGAUUUGAUUUACGAUUUGUUUUGACUUUGAGCUUGCGUUAAAUUUUUUUCAGAAAUAUGAGUGAUCGAGUUAUGAAUUUCUUUGAUCUCACUUUUAUUCAUUAUCUAUUUGGGAAAUUGUGUGAUAUUUGAAAAUCGCAUUUGUUACUAUAAUUGUGAGCAUGAUUUUACUUAUUAAAAAUUUCUGAGUAUGGUUCCUUAUUUGUGAUUAGUGUCUGUUGUGAGAUUUUCUUUGGGGAAGCUUCUUAUUGAUUUUUGAGUUUUCAUAUGAUUUUCCUAUGCCAUACUUGUGGUGAUCAUAUUACCAUGCUAGCAUGUCGUUCCACCUUUCGAGGAAAUGUGACUACUACCUUCAGGGUGGAGUUACAAAAAGCGCUUUCCACCUUUGUGGUGAUGUGGUGCUGGCUUAGUGGCAGUAUCACGAAAGCCCGAUACCCUAAUCGCCUCUGUGGUGUAAAGGUACAAGAGUAUGGGAGUGCUUUGGCCUGAGAGGCCCUCACCUGAGCCUAAGGCUCACUUGUAUGGCUAAUAUCUUAUUCCCCAUACUUUACUUUAUACAUAACUAGCGGGGGUGGUUCGAUUUUACUCGAUCAGCGGGGCUGCUCAUAUUUUUACAAGUUAUCGGAAUUUCUCAGUUUUUCUACUUUGUUGUUUGUGACUACCGGGGCUAGUUCGGUUUUUUGAACUAAAUGUCAUUCGAAAUAUUUUUCCUAAAGCUUGCAUGCAUUGAUUUUGAAAGUGUAUUCUGGGAAAGUGAUGAGUUCUCGGAUUCCUGUUUAUUUCGAUUAUUUAUUUUUGUCCGCUCACGCUAACAUUUUUCAAUUACUUUUCCCCUGGGUCCUUCGAUUUCAAAUGCCCAGUUUGCAGAUUAAGCUAGUUGAGGUCGGAUGUAUAUGGAGUUGAGGCAUAGUUGUCACUGCUUCCGCAUUGUAGGAUUUAUCGGUCCUUUACCUUUUUAUUUUAUUUUCUUGUUUACCUUAUUAGAUUGCUCUGAUAACAUGUGGGCUAAAUGUUCUUAAGUUGAGACUUGUGUUGUGUUGUAGAGUUUGUUGUGAUUCGGGGAGUAGGGUGGCUCCAGGAGUGGAGGAUGGUGUUAUAUAUUAGAAGUGUAAUUGUUUUUCUACAGGUUUUGAGUUGUUCAUCUUUAGGGGUGACUCUGCCGAAUUUUUAGUAGAGUUAUUCCUAAGGUGGGCCCCGAAGGGCCACCUAGGAUUUCAGGGUGAAAUCUGGGGCGAGGUCUUGUCAGAAGAUGCCGACAGUGUUCCAGGCUCAUCAGCUACUUUUGGUGACAAAGAACUCCGUAAUGUCACAACAUGAUAGAGAAUUAAGUGGUUCUGAUAGUGAUCUAGGCUCAUUAGCUACCUUUGUUGAUGAAGAACUCUAUAAUGUUACCAACAUAAUAGAGAAGUAACCGGUUGCUGACGCAACAAGAUAGAAGAAAAAUAUCAAGUUCCCUCCGAUUCAGAUCUUGAAUAUGAGGAUAAUGAUUAAGAAGCUGCCGACAGUGGUCCAGGCUCAUAGCUACCUUUGUUGACGAAGAACUCCGUAAUGUCACAACAUGAUAGAGAAGUAAGUGGUUGCCGACAGUGGUCCAGACUCAUCAGCUACCUUUGCUAACGAAGAACUCUAUAAUCACCUACAUAAUAAAGUAGUAACUGGUUGCCGAUGCAACAAGACAGAAAAAAAAUAUCAAGUUCCCUCUUAUUCAGAUAUUGAAAUUUGAGAGAAAUGAUUAUGAAGCUGCUGACAGUGGUUCAGGCUCAUCAGCUACCUUUGGUUACGAAGAACUCCGUAAUUUCACAAUAUGAUAGAGAAGUAAGUGGUUGGCGACAGUGGUCCAGGCUCAUCAGCUACCUUAGCUGACGAAGAACUCUAUAAUGUCACCAACGUAAUAGAGGAGUAACUGGUUGCCGACGCAACAAGACAGAAGAAAAAUAUCAAGUUCCUUCCGAUUCAGAUCUUGAAUAUGAGGACAGUGAUUAUAAAGUUGCCGACAGUGGUGCAAGCUCAUCGGCUGCUUUUGUUGAAGAAGAAAUCCGUAAUGUCAUAGCAUGAUAGAGAAGUAAGUGGUUGCCGACAGUGGUUUAGGCUCAUCAGCUACCUUUGCUGACGAAGAACUCUAUAAUGUCACCAACAUAAUAGAGAAGUAACUGAUUGCCGACGUAACAAGACAGAAGAAAAAUAUCAAGUUCCCUCUGAUACAUAUCUUGAAUAUGAUGACAAUGAUUAUGAAGCUGUCGACAGUGGACCAGGCUCAUCACCUACCUUUGUUAACGAAGAACUAUGUAAUGUCACAACAUGAUAGAGAAGUAAGUGAUUGACUACAAUUGUCCAGGCUCAUCAGCUAUCUUUACUGACGAAGAACUCUAUAAUGUCACCAACAUAAUAGAGAAGUAAGUGGUUGUUGACGCAACAAGACAGAAGACUUGACUUUUUCAAAAGUAAAGUUAUUCCAUUUCAAAAAAAAAAAAAAAAAGAUUCUUCAUGUAUUCCACUUUCUUUUAGGAUAUUUUGAAUUCUAUUUUGAGGUCCGCUCCCUAUAUAAGGAGUUGUAAUCUUCCCUAGGAACCCUAGGAAGACAUCAGAAACUUGAAUUAGAAGCUCUCUCCCUCUCUCUCAAGAAGUAAGAUAACCAGAAAGUGUGCUUUUAGUAUAUCCAAAAAAGUAGCAGUGUGCCUUCUUUUCUGUAAAGAUCGUGUGGAGCGGUGUGCUUUUGUUUCAACAGUCUUAUAGGUGACAAGAUGGUUGCUCGGGACUUCCAAGUUGAUUUGAAUAAAGCCCUCGUAUUCCAGGUUGGCCAUCUUGGAGAGGCAUAUCACGAGUGGGUUCACCAGCCUAUUGUCUGCACUGAAGGCCCUCGAUUUUUUGAAAAUGAAUUUUUGGAGUUCUUGACCCGCACUGUGUGGUGGGCAGUUCCUACCAUAUGGCUUCCAGUUGUGUGUUACUCUAUCUCCAAGACCGUACAGAUGGGCCAUACGUUUCCUGAAAUAGUUCUGAUGGUUCUUUUUGGCAUUUUGGUGUCGACAUUGCUUGAAUAUACAAUUCACCGUUUCCUUUUCCAUAUUGAAACCAAAAGCUACUGGGGGAACACCAUACAUUAUGUUCUCCAUGGCUGCCAUCACAAACACCCAAUGGAUGGUUUGCGACUUGUUCUUCCUCCGACUGCAACAGCUAUUUUAUGUCUUCUAGUAUGGUAUAUGUUUAGGCUUUUAUCACCUCCAUCAGUUGCUCCGGCUUUGUUUGGAGGAACCUUAUUGGGAUAUGUAGCAUAUGAUGUCACUCAUUACUACCUUCACCAUGGGAAGCCAUCUAAAAGAUUGACUCAAGAUCUGAAGAAAUAUCACAUGAACCAUCACUUCAGAAUUCAAAGUAAGGGAUUCGGGAUCACUUCCUCCUUAUGGGACAAUGUUUUCGGAACAGUGCCUUCAACAAAAGCUGCUGAGAAAAUGAGUAACCAGUAGCACCGGCUGGGUUAACAUGGAUCUUUUCUUGCUACUGUACUAGUAACUAUAGGAACAAUAACUGCACAUUUGGAGCUAUGGAACAUGACUUAGACGUACAAUAAUGAGUCCAUUAAUACAUGAAGGACUUCUGGCUGCUUUGGAUAAGUACAACUGUUGAGGGGGAUUGGUUGCUUUGGCUCCAUAUGACCCCCAGAAACUGGCUCUGUAAUAUUAUUGUUCUUGUAUCCUGUAUGCUUGUUACUACAAUAAUAAAUCGGACAUCUUUGUUCAUGCUCUAUGCCUUUUUAUUGUUCUUCUGCUUCCAUUCUCAUUUGGAUUGAUUUCAGAGUAGUGUAUAGUAGAGGCAUAUGAUUUACUCAUCUAAACUUGAAUUUUGGGCAGCGAGCUGCUUAUUCCUUUUUGGGAGACAAAAUAAUCAGCUGGGUACUCACUAGUCUCUAUCCACCUCCACAUUCUCCUCCGCAAGGGAGAAAAGGUGGAGGAGGCAGACAAGUCAGAGGUUGCGGGUUUACCCAAUGUCUAGUUAUGCCAUUUUAGUCACCAGAGGCUGCGUUGACAGUUUUGAACGAGUAUCAUACAGAAGACAGAGCCUUGCGUUACAAGUUACAAAAAUGUCCUAGAUAUCUCUACCCACCCAGUACCCACCAUCAACAAUUGGUUUUAAUUUAGAUGCUUCUAUAUGGUAUCAAAGCUAUGAUUUAUCUAACGUCACAUCAAAGCUACGAUUUAUUCAAUCUGUCACACAGACUUGUUCCACGCCAUGAUCAAUACCUCACUCUUAUAUUCUAAGAUUAAGAAUAGAUCUUACUUCUGUGAAACAUUGUUACAGCAAAAAUGUUAAGCAUCAAAUCUCUACUAUUAUAAAGAGAAAACAAGUUU
RNA transcript from Rosa rugosa (rugosa rose), 5588 nucleotides. It is a transcript of the gene named dihydroceramide fatty acyl 2-hydroxylase FAH2-like, with no coding region annotated. The transcript has 8 exons. NCBI's taxonomy places the organism in Eukaryota, Viridiplantae, Streptophyta, Magnoliopsida, Rosales, Rosaceae. The record is from RefSeq and is a predicted model, not a curated record.